Molecule: transfer RNA, 72 nt
Filed under: Ictidomys tridecemlineatus (thirteen-lined ground squirrel)
Lineage: Eukaryota; Metazoa; Chordata; Mammalia; Rodentia; Sciuridae
Description: Spermophilus tridecemlineatus (thirteen-lined ground squirrel) tRNA
Rfam family: tRNA
About the family: Transfer RNA (tRNA) molecules are approximately 80 nucleotides in length. Their secondary structure includes four short double-helical elements and three loops (D, anti-codon, and T loops). Further hydrogen bonds mediate the characteristic L-shaped molecular structure. tRNAs have two regions of fundamental functional importance: the anti-codon, which is responsible for specific mRNA codon recognition, and the 3' end, to which the tRNAs corresponding amino acid is attached (by aminoacyl-tRNA synthetases). tRNAs cope with the degeneracy of the genetic code in two manners: having more than one tRNA (with a specific anti-codon) for a particular amino acid; and 'wobble' base-pairing, i.e. permitting non-standard base-pairing at the 3rd anti-codon position.
Source: Rfam by way of RNAcentral
GGGGAUGUAGGUCAGUGGUAGAGCACUUGCUUAGCAUGCAGGAGGCCCUGGGCUGGAUUACCAGCACCCCUG